GAUGAACGCUGGCGGCGUGCCUAAUACAUGCAAGUCGAGCGAACGGACGAGAAGCUUGCUUUUCUGAUGUUAGCGGCGGACGGGUGAGUAACACGUGGAUAACCUACCUAUAAGACUGGGAUAACUUCGGGAAACCGGAGCUAAUACCGGAUAAUAUUUUGAACCGCAUGGUUCAAAAGUGAAAGACGGUCUUGCUGUCACUUAUUGAUGGAUCCGCGCUGCAUUAGCUAGUUGGUAAGGUAACGGCUUACCAAGGCAACGAUGCAUAGCCGACCUGAGAGGGUGAUCGGCCACACUGGAACUGAGACACGGUCCAGACUCCUACGGGAGGCAGCAGUAGGGAAUCUUCCGCAAUGGGCGAAAGCCUGACGGAGCAACGCCGCGUGAGUGCUGAAGGUCUUCGGAUCGUAAAACUCUGUUAUUAGGGAAGAACAUAUGUGUAAGUAACUGUGCACAUCUUGACGGUACCUAAUCAGAAAGCCACGGCUAACUACGUG
RNAcentral lists this ribosomal RNA (497 nucleotides) under uncultured bacterium. RNAcentral's name for it is "partial 16S ribosomal RNA". It matches the Rfam family "Bacterial small subunit ribosomal RNA", at positions 28 to 507 of the family's 1533-position model. The record is from RNAcentral.